Molecule: ribosomal RNA, 514 nt
Filed under: uncultured bacterium
Lineage: Bacteria
Description: bacterial SSU rRNA
Rfam family: Bacterial small subunit ribosomal RNA
Source: RNAcentral
GACGAACGCUGGCGGCGUGCCUAAUACAUGCAAGUCGAACGCACUCUCGUUUAGAUUGAAGGAGCUUGCUCCUGAUUGAUAAACAUUUGAGUGAGUGGCGGACGGGUGAGUAACACGUGGGUAACCUGCCCUAAAGUGGGGGAUAACAUUUGGAAACAGAUGCUAAUACCGCAUAAAACCUAAACACCGCAUGGUGUAGGGUUGAAAGAUGGUUUCGGCUAUCACUUUAGGAUGGACCCGCGGUGCAUUAGUUAGUUGGUGAGGUAAAGGCUCACCAAGACCGUGAUGCAUAGCCGACCUGAGAGGGUAAUCGGCCACACUGGGACUGAGACACGGCCCAGACUCCUACGGGAGGCAGCAGUAGGGAAUCUUCCACAAUGGACGAAAGUACUGAUGGAGCAAACGCCGCCGUGAGUGAAGAAGGUUUUCGGAUCGUAAAAACUCUGUUGUUGGAGAAGAAUGUAUCUGAUAGUAACUGAUCAGGUAGUGACGGUAUCCAACCAGAAAGCCACGG